GGGUGCGAUCAUACCAACACUACAACACCAAAUUCC
This 36-nucleotide ribosomal RNA is filed under the name Prospero autumnale (starry hyacinth). The record is from RNAcentral. Lineage: Eukaryota; Viridiplantae; Streptophyta; Magnoliopsida; Asparagales; Asparagaceae.